GAACGCGAAGAACCUUACCCGGGCUUGAACUAAGAGUGACAGAUCUAGAGAUAGAUUCUUCUUCGGACACUCUUGGAGGUGCUGCAUGGUUGUCGUCAGCUCGUGCCGUGAGGUGUCGGCUUAAGUGCCAUAACGAGCGCAACCCUUUUCCUUGGUUGCCAUCAGGUAAUGCUGGGCACUCCAGGGAUACUGCCAUCGUAAGAUGUGAGGAAGGUGGGGAUGACGUCAAAUCAGCACGGCCCUUACGUCCGGGGCUACACACGUGUUACAAUGGGGGGUACAGAAGGUCGCUACCUGGUGACAGGAUGCUAAUCUCCAAAACCUCUCUCAGUUCGGAUUGGAGUCUGCAACCCGACUCCAUGAAGCUGGAUUCGCUAGUAAUCGCGCAUCAGCCAUGGCGCGGUGAAUACGUUCCCGGGUCUUGUACACACC
RNAcentral lists this ribosomal RNA (432 nucleotides) under uncultured bacterium. Its description in RNAcentral is "bacterial SSU rRNA". It matches the Rfam family "Bacterial small subunit ribosomal RNA", at positions 957 to 1391 of the family's 1533-position model. The record is from RNAcentral.